RNAcentral lists this ribosomal RNA (500 nucleotides) under uncultured bacterium. RNAcentral's name for it is "partial 16S ribosomal RNA". It matches the Rfam family "Bacterial small subunit ribosomal RNA", at positions 30 to 523 of the family's 1533-position model. The record is from RNAcentral.
AUUGAACGCUGGCGGCAUGCCUUACACAUGCAAGUCGAACGGCAGCACGGACUUCGGUCUGGCGGCGAGUGGCGAACGGGUGAGUAAUACAUCGGAACGUACCCUGUUGUGGGGGAUAACUAGUCGAAAGAUUAGCUAAUACCGCAUACGACCUGAGGGUGAAAGUGGGGGACCGCAAGGACUCACGCAGCAGGAGCGGCCGAUGUCUGAUUAGCUAGUUGGUGGGGUAAAGGCCCACCAAGGCGACGAUCAGUAGCUGGUCUGAGAGGACGAUCAGCAACACUGGGACUGGGACACGGCCCAGACUCCUACGGGAGGCAGCAGUGGGGAAUUUUGGACAAUGGGGGCAACCCUGAUCCAGCAUUGCCGCGUGUGUGAAGAAGGCCUUCGGGUUGUAAAGCACUUUUGUCCGGAAAGAAAUCGCGCUGGUUAAUACCUGGCGUGGAUGACGGUACCGGAAGAAUAAGCACCGGCUAACUACGUGCCAGCCGCCGCCGUAA